This 203-nucleotide ribosomal RNA is filed under the name Bacillus sp. ok061. Its description in RNAcentral is "16S rRNA. Bacterial SSU". It matches the Rfam family "Bacterial small subunit ribosomal RNA", at positions 1 to 196 of the family's 1533-position model. Lineage: Bacteria; Bacillati; Bacillota; Bacilli; Caryophanales; Bacillaceae. The record is from RNAcentral.
CUUUAUUGGAGAGUUUGAUCCUGGCUCAGGAUGAACGCUGGCGGCGUGCCUAAUACAUGCAAGUCGAGCGAAUGGAUUGAGAGCUUGCUCUCAAGAAGUUAGCGGCGGACGGGUGAGUAACACGUGGGUAACCUGCCCAUAAGACUGGGAUAACUCCGGGAAACCGGGGCUAAUACCGGAUAACAUUUUGAACUGCAUGGUUC